GACGAACGCUGGCGGCGUGCUUAACACAUGCAAGUCGAACGGAAAGGCCCUGCUUUUGUGGGGUGCUCGAGUGGCGAACGGGUGAGUAACACGUGAGUAACCUGCCCUUGACUUUGGGAUAACUUCAGGAAACUGGGGCUAAUACCUGAUAGGAGCUCCUGCUGCAUGGUGGGGGUUGGAAAGUUUCGGCGGUUGGGGAUGGAAUCGCGGCUUAUCAGCUUGUUGGUGGGGUAGUGGCUUACCAAGGCUUUGGCGGGUAGCCGGCCUGAGAGGGUGACCGGACACAUUGGGACUGAGAUACGGCCCAGAAUCCUACGGGAGGCAGCAGUGGGGAAUAUUGCACAAUGGGCGGAAGCCUGAUGCAGCAACGCCGCGUGCGGGAUGACGGCUUUCGGGUUGUAAACCGCUUUAGCCUGUGACGAAGCGUGAGUGACGGUAAUGGGUAAAGAAGCACCGGCUAACUACGUG
Molecule: ribosomal RNA, 468 nt
Filed under: uncultured bacterium
Lineage: Bacteria
Description: partial 16S ribosomal RNA
Rfam family: Bacterial small subunit ribosomal RNA
Source: RNAcentral